Molecule: long non-coding RNA, 374 nt
Organism: Venturia canescens
Lineage: Eukaryota; Metazoa; Arthropoda; Insecta; Hymenoptera; Ichneumonidae
Exons: 2
Source: RefSeq, a predicted model, not a curated record
AUUCGCGACUAUUUAGUACGUGUCGAUCGAUGCAGCCGCGGCAUGAGCGAUGAUUACAAGGCUUGAAAGUAACGGCGAUUGGAUAAGCGUAACAGAUGGUGCAGGUAUCGUCGUCGUCGCUGAUCAAUCUAGUCUCUGAGCGGGUUUCUUGGUUGUUCCCUCGCCGAGAACGAAAUACAGUGAGCUCAUCUGAAAACUCGGCUCCAUUAGGAGAGUUCCAGUCGUUCGCGGAGCCUCCUUAGCUUCGUGAGCUGUGAAAAAAUAGUAGCGAUUCGUAAAUUUUAUCCAAAUAAUAGACUUGACGCAAUACCGCAAUAUAAUUGUUAGAGUUGAUAAAAAUGUAAUGCGAUUAAACUUGCCAUGUUUGGAUGUUA